This 703-nucleotide long non-coding RNA is filed under the name Homo sapiens (human). RNAcentral describes it as "HSALNT0352977". The record is from RNAcentral. Lineage: Eukaryota; Metazoa; Chordata; Mammalia; Primates; Hominidae.
UUUUUAAAUUAACUGAACAUUUACACAAAAGAGACAGGGGUUUAAAACUAAACAGAUAGUGGAAACAGUUUAACUUUCAACAACAGUGUACAUGUUGAGAGCAAAUAUAGACUAGUAGAGAAAAUUGCCUUUUUGCACAUCUGGGUUGAUAUUAUAAGAUUUAAGCAACUAUAAUAUAAAAUUCUAUACACAUAGGCAGUGAGAAAAAACUUUUAUGGUCUGAAACAAUUUUCAUGCUAUAUGUCAUAAUAGAAGGUCUUCUAGAAUCCAUGUAUGCCCAACAAAAGCCACUGAAGGGAAGCUUACCAGAGUGCCAUCGAGUUCCUUCCCCUAAGGAUCAGACUUCCAGACUCAAGUGUCAUUUGACCUGGUAUCCAGCUUAAUACAGCCUCUGCUUUUGAAUAGAUUUCCUUACAAGUGGCAAUCUCUAAUAGGGUCAUGUCGAGAGGCAACCCGACUGCAUACUACCUACUGCACGUUAACGUGAUGAAGGUCUCUCCUGAGCACACGGCUUCAUAAACCAGCUGCACAAGCAACUGCAUCUGGGGAUCUGCUUCAAGAGAAACUUAACUAAAGCAAGAAUGGGCUCUAACUUCAGGAUACCUAGGAUUCUAACCUCGUUCCAUUACUUACCAACGAUAUGACCUGGGAAAAAUUAUAUACCUGCUACACGAUGAGCAUACUUGGAAAGGAGUAGGUCAGG